RNAcentral lists this ribosomal RNA (427 nucleotides) under uncultured bacterium. RNAcentral's name for it is "partial 16S ribosomal RNA". It matches the Rfam family "Bacterial small subunit ribosomal RNA", at positions 355 to 774 of the family's 1533-position model. The record is from RNAcentral.
UGGGGAAUAUUGGACAAUGGGCGAAAGCCUGAUCCAGCCAUGCCGCGUGUGUGAAGAAGGUCUUCGGAUUGUAAAGCACUUUAAGUUGGGAGGAAGGGCAUUAACCUAAUACGUUAGUGUUUUGACGUUACCGACAGAAUAAGCACCGGCUAACUCUGUGCCAGCAGCCGCGGUAAUACAGAGGGUGCAAGCGUUAAUCGGAAUUACUGGGCGUAAAGCGCGCGUAGGUGGUUUGUUAAGUUGGAUGUGAAAGCCACGGGCUCAACCUGGGAACUGCAUCCAAAACUGGCAAGCUAGAGUACGGUAGAGGGUGGUGGAAUUUCCUGUGUAGCGGUGAAAUGCGUAGAUAUAGGAAGGAACACCAGUGGCGAAGGCGACCACCUGGACUGAUACUGACACUGAGGUGCGAAAGCGUGGGGAGCAAACA